Molecule: long non-coding RNA, 674 nt
Organism: Rhincodon typus (whale shark)
Lineage: Eukaryota; Metazoa; Chordata; Chondrichthyes; Orectolobiformes; Rhincodontidae
Exons: 3
Source: RefSeq, a predicted model, not a curated record
UGUGCAGACAGCCCUGCAAUCAAUUGGCUUUAACCUCAAGCCCUAUUCCUUGCAUAAACUGCUCACCCACGAGUACAAGCCUCUGCACUGUGAAUGCAGCCCAGCUAAAAUAAAAGAGCUGCAUACUGCACUGCAAAGGAAGAAAAAGAAGCUUCAUAAAUUGGACAACUUGACACACACACACACACACCAAAAUAACACCAGAAAAGCUUGGUGAGGAAACUAAACGCUAACAAAGAAAGUGACAACAGGAAGGAAAUUAAGAAGCAUUUAACCUGUCAAAGAACUUGAAACAAUUCUGCCUGUGUUUCAGGAACGGUGAAAUACACAAUUUAGAUCCCAUUUUCUUGUGGAAUGCAGCACCAUGGACAAGCAACAAUCGGCUUAAUUUACAAGUUUUCUUCAACCUCAGGGAUCUGGCCAUCACUUGCGAGGCCAGCAUUUAUUGCCCUAAUUGUCCACAGGAUAUGGGUGAGCCACCUUCUUGUACAGUGACAGUCUUUGGGGUUUAAGCACACUCACAAUUCAGAAGGGAAUUCCAGGAUUACAACCCGGCCAUAGUGAAGGAAAAGGGAUAUAUUUCCAAGUUGGGAUGAUGCGUAGGUUGGAGCAGAACUUGCAGGUGGUGGCAUUGCAAUGUAUCUGCUGCUCUGUUCUUCUAGAUGGUAGAGAUC